GGGGCCGACAUGGUUUCGACAGCGGCGAGUAGUGCGUGUAAGCAUGCAGAGCAUUGGGGAAACGGCUCUUAAAUCUCGGUCUCCAAGCCCUAACAGGCAACACUGAGUACGCACUUGCUGCCUAAUAGCCUCAGGCUAUGAAGCUUUACCCCGUGAACAACAGUAGCGGGGACAAGUAUCCUUCGGGGAGGCCCGCAACCCUCCUUCCCGGCUAAAGGAUAUCAACAUGGGAAGCUGGUCGGCGCGGUGGUCCGUAGCGUCGGCGAGACAACAGGACCUAAGCUGUCGGUAGGGUGUCCUUCUCCGGCCUGCAGUCGAAAACCAACGGAGGAAGAAGCAUGUGGAAAGCUCGUGUUGCAGUCGUUUGGACGAGGGUUCGAAUCCCUCCGGCUCCACUC
RNAcentral lists this transfer-messenger RNA (398 nucleotides) under Flavobacteriales. RNAcentral describes it as "PHOS-HE28 sp016710685 Standard tmRNA". It matches the Rfam family "transfer-messenger RNA". From Rfam's summary of the family: Bacterial tmRNA, also known as 10Sa RNA or SsrA, is named for its dual tRNA and mRNA-like properties. Its role is to liberate the mRNA from a stalled ribosome. Lineage: Bacteria; Pseudomonadati; Bacteroidota; Flavobacteriia. RNAcentral also lists the same sequence under 1 other name. The record is from RNAcentral.